Molecule: long non-coding RNA, 522 nt
Filed under: Nicotiana tabacum (common tobacco)
Lineage: Eukaryota; Viridiplantae; Streptophyta; Magnoliopsida; Solanales; Solanaceae
Description: long non-coding RNA (NTAB_LNC002197)
Source: RNAcentral
GCUGAUGUAAUCAAGAUGGGUCCGAAUAGUUUCGGUAUGGGUCAAACUCCAAUCGUAAACCGAAACCUGCCCUCCAUGAGCUACCCAAACGGAUCCGUCAGAAUCAACGGCGUUAAAGUCCGUUACAACGCCGUCAGAUGAGGGGCGGAUAGUUGAAAGAAGUGAAGCGUCGAUUCCGCUGAGUUGACUCGGAGCGAGUGCGGAUCUGAGCUGUGAUUCAAUUCCGUAGUAAACAGCUUCGUCGAUGAGUUCUUGAUUGGAGAAUCGUUUUGCGGUCGAAGGGAGACGAUUAGACCGGAGAAGAGCUAAGAGAGCCGAGAAGAUUUCUGGGUCCCGGUCGAUGAAAACCGGUUCGUCGGAAUUCCGGUUUGAUAAGGCGGAUAAGAGAGAAUCGGGUCCACCAGAGCGAAGUGUGGAUACUGUUGUUUCAAAGAGCUUGCCUCCGACGUUGAGCUUCACACGGUCGCUGACUUGGCUUUGAAUUGUAGUACGUCGUGCUCCGUUGAUUGUACCGUCCUCCAU